GUACUCGCUUCGGCAGCACAUAUACUAAAAUUGGAAUGAUACAGAGAAGAUUAGCAUGGCCCCUGCACAAGGAUGACACGCAAAUUCAUGAAGCAUUCUAUAUUUUU
Molecule: small nuclear RNA, 107 nt
Filed under: Microcebus murinus (gray mouse lemur)
Lineage: Eukaryota; Metazoa; Chordata; Mammalia; Primates; Cheirogaleidae
Source: RNAcentral